This 454-nucleotide ribosomal RNA is filed under the name uncultured bacterium. RNAcentral describes it as "bacterial SSU rRNA". It matches the Rfam family "Bacterial small subunit ribosomal RNA", at positions 340 to 786 of the family's 1533-position model. The record is from RNAcentral.
UACGGAAGGCAGCAGUGGGGAAUAUUGCACAAUGGGCGCAAGCCUGAUGCAGCCAUGCCGCGUGUAUGAAAAAGGCCUUCGGGUUGUAAAGUACUUUCAGUCGUGAGGAAGGUGUUAAGGUUAAUAACCUUAGCAAUUGACGUUAGCGACAGAAGAAGCACCGGCUAACUCCGUGCCAGCAGCCGCGGUAAUACGGAGGGUGCGAGCGUUAAUCGGAAUUACUGGGCGUAAAGGGCACGCAGGCGGUUUAAUUAAGUUGGAUGUGAAAUCCCCGGGCUUAACCUGGGAAUGGCAUUCAAGACUGGUUAGCUAGAGUCUUGUAGAGGGGGUAGAAUUCCAUGUGUAGCGGUGAAAUGCGUAGAGAUGUGGAGGAAUACCGGUGGCGAAGGCGGCCCCUGGACAAAGACUGACGCUCAUGUGCGAAAGCGUGGGGAGCAAACAGGGAUUAGAUACC